AUACCUUUCUCGGCCUUUUGGCUUAGAUCAAGUGUAGAAUCUGUUCUUAUCAUCAGUUUAAUAUCUGAUACGUGGCCCAUCGGCUCACAAGAUAUUAAAUUAAUUUUUUGAGGGGAAGGGCUCGCCGCAGUAGCUUGCUACUGGGGUCCUCGCGCGUCGCCGUACCGUUGCUCCAUUGCCUUGGUCUGGCGCACCCAAU
Molecule: small nuclear RNA, 199 nt
Organism: Diospyros lotus (date-plum)
Lineage: Eukaryota; Viridiplantae; Streptophyta; Magnoliopsida; Ericales; Ebenaceae
Product: U2 spliceosomal RNA
Exons: 1
Source: RefSeq, a predicted model, not a curated record